GACGAACGCUGGCGGCGUGCCUAAUACAUGCAAGUCGAGCGAGACCCUUCGGGGUCUAGCGGCGGACGGGUGAGUAACACGUGGGCAACCUGCCUGUAAGACUGGGAUAACACCGGGAAACCGGUGCUAAUACCGGAUAAUCCUUUUCCUCUCAUGAGGGAAAGUUAAAAGACGGCGUAAGCUGUCACUUACAGAUGGGCCCGCGGCGCAUUAGCUAGUUGGUGAGGUAACGGCUCACCAAGGCGACGAUGCGUAGCCGACCUGAGAGGGUGAUCGGCCACACUGGGACUGAGACACGGCCCAGACUCCUACGGGAGGCAGCAGUAGGGAAUCUUCCGCAAUGGACGAAAGUCUGACGGAGCAACGCCGCGUGAGCGAUGAAGGCCUUCGGGUCGUAAAGCUCUGUUGUUAGGGAAGAACAAGUACCGGAGUAACUGCCGGUACCUUGACGGUACCUAACCAGAAAGCCACGGCUAACUACGUGCCAGCAGCCGCGGUAAUACGUAGGUGGCAAGCGUUGUCCGGAAUUAUUGGGCGUAAAGCGCGCGCAGGCGGUCCUUUAAGUCUGAUGUG
This 573-nucleotide ribosomal RNA is filed under the name uncultured bacterium. RNAcentral describes it as "bacterial SSU rRNA". It matches the Rfam family "Bacterial small subunit ribosomal RNA", at positions 28 to 596 of the family's 1533-position model. The record is from RNAcentral.